AUUGCCACUGUUUCACAAAACCAACAGGCGAACACACAAAGGCUACCUACCUGGUACUGUUUACCAGAAGACAGACAGGGGUUGGACACACACUGAGGACAGCACUGGCCCGGUCGGAUCACCAAGUUCUCGUGCUGAAGGAGGGGAGAAAGAUAAAUCAGACAGACAGACAGAGAGAGCAACACCAACAGGGCCUACAAUACUAGAUCAAGUACAAAUCCAUAUUCUUCUUCUGUGUAUUCAUGAAUGGUGUUUGGCAUGAUGACAGCCCAUGAGUGGAAAGCACCACACCGCGAGGAUGCAGAGGAACUCACCGGUUUGCAGGCCACUUGCUGACACUCUGCCACUGAGCACUGGACUUCCCCGUUGCCACAGACACAUCUGGAGCAAAGGCUGGGCUCCCACUCCUCACCGUCUCUGUACACAGUCCCCUGCCAGGAGCAAGACUCUGACACACACACACCGAUAAACACAGAAUGAGUAAACAAUGAAAAUGGGAGUCAGGUAAUGAGCUGACUGUUCAAGCAUUGUUUGCCCUCACACUCGUUGAUUUACACUGACGAACAAAAUGCGGUCGCUAAUUAGCUGCUAACCGUUGGGAUGCAUCAUAGCAUCUCCGAGACAUCAUUAGAGUCAAGAUUAACCUUUCAGCUCAGCUCCAGCUGCACAGUGCAGUCUGAAAGCCCAAGGUUUGUCACGACAGCAUCCUGUCUGAGAGGUGGCACACAAGAUGGCACACACUCUGAAGGGGAUCCAAGCACCUGAGUGAUCGCUUGCCACGGCAAAUAUCACUAAAUAG
This is a long non-coding RNA of Acanthopagrus latus (yellowfin seabream), 799 nucleotides long. RefSeq lists it as uncharacterized. The record is from RefSeq and is a predicted model, not a curated record. Lineage: Eukaryota; Metazoa; Chordata; Actinopteri; Spariformes; Sparidae. The transcript has 3 exons.